This 467-nucleotide ribosomal RNA is filed under the name uncultured bacterium. RNAcentral describes it as "partial 16S ribosomal RNA". It matches the Rfam family "Bacterial small subunit ribosomal RNA", at positions 28 to 507 of the family's 1533-position model. The record is from RNAcentral.
GAUGAACGCUGGCGGCGUGCUUAACACAUGCAAGUCGAACGGAAAGGCCCAAGCUUGCUUGGGUACUCGAGUGGCGAACGGGUGAGUAACACGUGGGUGAUCUGCCCUGCACUUCGGGAUAAGCCUGGGAAACUGGGUCUAAUACCGGAUAGGACCACAUUUUGGAUGGUGUGGUGGAAAGUUUUUCGGUGUGGGAUGAGCUCGCGGCCUAUCAGCUUGUUGGUGGGGUAAUGGCCUACCAAGGCGUCGACGGGUAGCCGGCCUGAGAGGGUGUACGGCCACAUUGGGACGGAGAUACGGCCCAGACUCCUACGGGAGGCAGCAGUGGGGAAUAUUGCACAAUGGGCGCAAGCCUGAUGCAGCGACGCCGCGUGGGGGAUGACGGCCUUCGGGUUGUAAACUCCUGUCGCUAGGGACGAAGCGUUUUUGUGACGGUACCUGGAGAAGAAGCACCGGCUAACUACGUG